GUGCCUUUUAUAGCUUACGAUACAGUAUUGGUUUUUUUCUCAUUGUUGAAGCCUAUACUAUGACAUAUACUUGCUUACGUCCAUGCACGUCAUUUGAACUCUGGUGAAUAUUUGUCAUAUCACAUCUAAUAUAUUUUGCAUUGCUUUAUGGGAGAUCGUCUUUUUGAAACAAAAUUGGAAUGAAAAUUAUAGAACAAAAACGGGUUAUAAAAAUGUCCUUACAUAUUUCCCUAGUAUAUAUUAUAUAUAAUGCAAAUUCUUGUCUAAAAUUGAUGGUGAUCAACAAUAUUGUGCUUCUGAAUUAUGCAUAUAAACAGCCUCAUCUUUUAAACAAGUCAUGCUUAUCGAAAUUAUUAGUAGUAAAACUAGAUUUAACAGUAGAUCUAAAACUUUAUAUCACAGUUAAAUCUACUGAAGCAUAUAACCAACAGAGAUACGUUGUUAUUUAUCUGGUAUGAAACUUUGUCCGAACUCUAUUAUAUUAGUUAAACAGGUGUAAAUUUUUCGCUAAAGUCUUAUAAGACCAAUAGGUAUCAAAAAGGUGGGAUUAAAGUGUACUAUCAUUUUAAUCAUUUAAACUUGUUUGAACCUUCUUUUGGCCGUGGUCUUUUAGGGAUGAAAUCAUUUAAAGAGGCGUAUUCCUUUGACUCAAAUCAAUGAUUCUUACAUUAACAUUCGAUUGCAAUAAAGACCUGCCUCUUGCCUCCUGAAUUUUCAAAAUUGCGGCCAUUAAUUUAAAAAAAAAAGAAAAAAGAAAAUUUACUUGUACAUUUUGAAUGGUCAUAUAUUUUAAUUCAAACCAGAAGCUAUACAGCUUAUAGGUAUAUCAUAAAUAUAAACAUGGUACGUUAAGUCAGGAAUAUGCAUAUACUGUUUGCCACUGGACACUACGCAAGUAACACUUAAUAAAUCCUUCUAUCCCUAUUUCACAUGUUAAGGUCUGUAAGGGGUUUACAGAAAUCAGAAUAAUAGGCAAAAGGUGCAGAAAAAAGGCAAAAAGUGAAGAAAAGAUAAAAAGACCAAAAAUGGACACACAAAAUAAAGAAUAGAUAAUAAUUAGGUGCUGAAAUAUAAAGAAUAAAAGAGUUGUGGUCAAAAUAAAUAAAGAAUAUUAAAAAAUGGUCUAAACAGUAAAGAAAUCAAUUACACUCAUCUAGACUCUUGCAAGUUCCAUGACUCUGUAGAAUGUAGAAUUCCUUAUCAUUCACAUUUCUGCACUCGUCUUUAUGUAUGAAUAUUCUGCAUCGUUUUUACCUGCAUCUUUUGAUGAUGUUAUAUAUGAACCAUGUUAUUAUCAUUAACACUAUAUGAUGAUGUAGUAGAUAGUUGUAUCAUAAUGACUGGCUGAUCUCCCUGAUUCAUUUGUAUGUAUCUACAUGGUGCCAAAUGUAACAUGUAACAUUGUAUUGUACUUAACCCUUUACCACCUACAUGUAUUUACUUAAUUGCAUAAAGAAAUUACCAUGUAACAAAAUGGUACAAAAAAUGCAUGAGGAAAUUAUGUUUUGGGUCACCUUAUUUAAUGUUGUUAAAAUAGAAUUAUGUGUUAUUGCGGGGUCAAAAUCCUCCACUUGUCUCACAGUGUGAGUGUUUUUGUGGAAUGUUUUUUAUCGAUCUUUUCUUAUCUUUCUCGUUUCUUUCUUUGACUUAUGACUUUUGAUUUUACUAUAUAUGCCCUUUGUAUCAGCAUAUAUACCAAAUUAACACAUCUGUGCUGUUUAAAUAAGGCCGUUUAAAUAAUUUUACAAGGGUCAAUUGGACAUGGCAAUACCGCUGAAUAAAACAAAAAUUUAUAGUCAAUCUAAAGUGUAAUGUUUAUGUGAAAAAAUAUCCUACAACCAGCCAACUUGAUUGUACAAAUUACAUUUAUGCAAAUAAAUAUUAGCUUAAAUUUUACUUGAAACUUGAACUUUUAAUUUCUCAAAGACACACUAUGGUAUGUAAAUAUGAACAAAUAAAAUGCAUAUAACAAAUAAUAAUGCAUGGAGUGUCAAAUACAAUUAAUGUAAGAAAAUGACAUUAUUUAUAGGAUUUUUACAAAGUGCAAUAGUAAAGCAAAAUGUACAAAAGUCUCUUGUUAUCCAGCUUCUAUGUAGAGCGAACGGAAAAGUUAGUUCUCUUUACGGUCCGCAUUGGUUUAAGCGAUGUUGCUAUUUUUUGUCCUGUUUCUUAAGCUUGUACGAAUAAAUAAAACAUUUCCCUACAAAGUACAUGCAUAUAUAACAUGUUUACAAAAGAAUAGUAGGGAUGUUAGUGCAUAAAGGGUUGAUUGAUUGAUUGUUGUUACACAAAUGAUGUGUCGCUGCUAGAUAUAUUAAAUGUGUAAUGGAAUUAUGUUUCUAUGCCAUUUCCAAGCCACAUGUACAGUAGAACGAAUGCAGACUGAAAACGAAUAGAAGUACAUUCAUCUUUGAUAGUUGCCUUUUUGCCAAAAGCUACAGAUAUUUAUUUCCUACAUGCAGAAGUUUUUAUUACCUUAAUGUUUUGUUUCAGAUACAAUUAGUAUCCAUCAUAUAGUACUAUAACUUGUACUUUUGUUUUUGCAUCUGUUUAUCAACCUAAUUUCAGAGGCUCAAACAUAGUAAAAAGAAUACAAUUGAAAACUCUUCCCAAAAUCACAACAAACUUGAAAGAAAAUCAAGUGCUAUUGUGGUUUGUCUUUUCUUAAUAGGCAUUUAUACAUAUUAAAAAAAGCGUAUAAAGCCACUAUAUUAAUAAACCAAAAACCAUAUUUAAGAAUUUUCGUUGUUUUUUUUUUGUGGGAAAUAAUGAAUAAAAAUUGGUACAAUGCCACCCUAAAGAUACGGCCUUCAGAGGCGGAUUCAGAUAGAGCAAUUGACCGGCUCCCCUUUUUGAGCUACACAUUUAAAAGAAUGGGUUGUUUUUUUUUGUU
RNAcentral lists this long non-coding RNA (2893 nucleotides) under Mytilus galloprovincialis (Mediterranean mussel). The record is from RNAcentral. Lineage: Eukaryota; Metazoa; Mollusca; Bivalvia; Mytilida; Mytilidae.